RNAcentral lists this ribosomal RNA (301 nucleotides) under uncultured bacterium. Its description in RNAcentral is "partial 16S ribosomal RNA". It matches the Rfam family "Bacterial small subunit ribosomal RNA", at positions 509 to 808 of the family's 1533-position model. The record is from RNAcentral.
CAGUAGCCGCGGUAAUACGAAGGGUGCAAGCGUUAAUCGGAAUUACUGGGCGUAAAGCGUGCGUAGGCGGUGAGUUAAGUCUGCUGUGAAAUCCCUGGGCUCAACCUGGGAAUGGCAGUGGAUACUGGCUCGCUAGAGUGUGUCAGAGGAUGGUGGAAUUCCCGGUGUAGCGGUGAAAUGCGUAGAGAUCGGGAGGAACAUCAGUGGCGAAGGCGGCCAUCUGGGACAACACUGACGCUGAGGCACGAAAGCGUGGGGAGCAAACAGGAUUAGAUACCCGCGUAGUCCCGUCUCUUAUACC